This 253-nucleotide ribosomal RNA is filed under the name uncultured bacterium. RNAcentral's name for it is "partial 16S ribosomal RNA". It matches the Rfam family "Bacterial small subunit ribosomal RNA", at positions 524 to 776 of the family's 1533-position model. The record is from RNAcentral.
UACAGAGGGUGCAAGCGUUGUUCGGAAUUAUUGGGCGUAAAGAGCUCGUAGGCGGUUUGUCGCGUCGGCCGUGAAAUCUCCACGCUUAACGUGGAGCGUGCGGUCGAUACGGGCAGACUUGAGUUCGGUAGGGGAGACUGGAAUUCCUGGUGUAGCGGUGAAAUGCGUAGAGAUCGGGAGGAACACCAGAGGCGAAGGCGGCGACCUGGACAGGUACUGACACUCAACUACGAAAGCGUGGGGAGCAAACAGG